CUCUAGCAUGUAAGUC
Molecule: ribosomal RNA, 16 nt
Filed under: Symbiodinium sp. Sh7
Lineage: Eukaryota; Dinophyceae; Suessiales; Symbiodiniaceae
Description: partial 28S ribosomal RNA
Source: RNAcentral